Molecule: ribosomal RNA, 251 nt
Filed under: uncultured prokaryote
Description: partial 16S rRNA
Rfam family: Bacterial small subunit ribosomal RNA
Source: RNAcentral
ACGGAGGAUGCAAGCGUUGUCCGGAAUCAUUGGGCGUAAAGAGUUCGUAGGUGGCAUAUCAAGUCCGAUGUUAAAGCCCGGGGCUUAACUCCGGUCCGGCGUUGGAAACUGAUAAGCUUGAGCAUAGCAGAGGCAAGGGGAAUUCCCAGUGUAGCGGUGAAAUGCGUAGAUAUUGGGAGGAACACCAGUGGCGUAAGCGCCUUGCUGGGCUAUUGCUGACACUGAGGAACGAAAGCCAGGGGAGCGAAUGG